GACUUGCAUGGUGUAGUGGUUUGAGCAUUGGACUAGGACUCUGGAGACCAGGGUUCAAAUCCCUGCUUGGUCA
Molecule: non-coding RNA, 73 nt
Organism: Phrynosoma platyrhinos (Desert horned lizard)
Lineage: Eukaryota; Metazoa; Chordata; Lepidosauria; Squamata; Phrynosomatidae
Source: the annotation of a GenBank genome assembly